UAACAAGGUCUCCGUUGGUGAACCAGCGGAGGGAUCAUUACUGAGUUACCGCUCUAUAACCCUUUGUGAACAUACCUAACUGUUGCUUCGGCGGGCAGGGGGUGCCGCCUGCGGACCCCCCUCCCGGCCCUGCCCUCACGGGCGGAGCGCCCGCCGGAGGAUACCAAACUCUAUUUUAACGACGUUUCUUCUGAGUGGCACAAGCAAAUAAUUAAAACUUUCAACAACGGAUCUCUUGGUUCUGGCAUCGAUGAAGAACGCAGCGAAAUGCGAUAAGUAAUGUGAAUUGCAGAAUUCAGUGAAUCAUCGAAUCUUUGAACGCACAUUGCGCCCGCCAGCAUUCUGGCGGGCAUGCCUGUUCGAGCGUCAUUUCAACCCUCAAGCUCUGCUUGGUGUUGGGGCCCUACGGUUGACGUAGGCCCUUAAAGGUAGUGGCGGACCCUCUCGGAGCCUCCUUUGCGUAGUAACUAACGUCUUCGCACUGGGAAUUCGGAGGGACUUCUUGCCGUAAAACCCCCAAAUUUUUAAAGGUUGACCUCGGAUCAGGUAGGAAUACCCGCUGAACUUAAGCAUAUC
Molecule: ribosomal RNA, 576 nt
Filed under: Colletotrichum coccodes
Lineage: Eukaryota; Fungi; Ascomycota; Sordariomycetes; Glomerellales; Glomerellaceae
Description: eukaryotic LSU rRNA
Rfam family: 5.8S ribosomal RNA (bases 216-369)
Source: RNAcentral